GUGGGGAAUAUUGGACAAUGGGGGCUACCCUGAUCCAGCCAUGCCGCGUGAGUGAUGACGGCCUUCGGGUUGUAAAGCUCUUUUACAUGGGAAGAUAAUGACGGUACCAUGAGAAUAAGCACCGGCAAACUUCGUGCCAGCAGCCGCGGUAAUACGAAGGGUGCAAGCGUUGUUCGGAAUUACUGGGUGUACAGGGCGUGUAGGCGGAUUAGUUAGUUAGUGGUGAAAUCCUUGGGCUCAACCUGAGAACUGCCAUUGAUACAGCUAGUCUGGAGUAUUAGAGAGGAUGACGGAAUAUCCAGUGUAGAGGUGAAAUUCGUAGAUAUUGGAUAGAACACCGGUGGCGAAGGCGGUCAUCUGGCUAAUUACUGACGCUGAGGCGCGAGAGCGUGGGGAGCAAACAGGAUUAGAUACCCGAGUAGUCC
Molecule: ribosomal RNA, 425 nt
Filed under: uncultured bacterium
Lineage: Bacteria
Description: partial 16S ribosomal RNA
Rfam family: Bacterial small subunit ribosomal RNA
Source: RNAcentral